RNAcentral lists this ribosomal RNA (689 nucleotides) under uncultured Bacteroidales bacterium. Its description in RNAcentral is "bacterial SSU rRNA". It matches the Rfam family "Bacterial small subunit ribosomal RNA", at positions 32 to 715 of the family's 1533-position model. The record is from RNAcentral. Lineage: Bacteria; Pseudomonadati; Bacteroidota; Bacteroidia; Bacteroidales.
AACGCUAGCUACAGGCUUAACACAUGCAAGUCGAGGGGCAUCAGGAACAAAGCUUGCUUUGUUUGCUGGCGACCGGCGCACGGGUGAGUAACGCGUAUCCGACCUACCCAUAACUCGGGCACAGCCGCUCGAAAGAGCGAUUGAUUCCCGAUAUGUCCUUGGAGUAGAUUCAAUGAUGAAAGAUUCAUCGGUUAUGGAUGGGGAUGCGUAAGAUUAGGUAGUAGGCGGGGUAACGGCCCACCUAGCCGACGAUCUUUAGGGGUUCUGAGAGGAAGGUCCCCCACACUGGUACUGAGACACGGACCAGACUCCUACGGGAGGCAGCAGUGAGGAAUAUUGGUCAAUGGGCGGAAGCCUGAACCAGCCAAGUAGCGUGAAGGAUUACAGCCCUACGGGUUUUAAACUUCUUUUAUAUAAGAGUAAUGUGCACUACGUGUAGUGUAUUGCAAGUAUUAUAUGAAUAAGCAUCGGCUAACUCCGUGCCAGCAGCCGCGGUAAUACGGAGGAUGCGAGCGUUAUCCGGAUUUAUUGGGUUUAAAGGGAGCGUAGGCGGGAUAUUAAGUCAGUCGUCAAAGCCUGUGGCUCAACCACAGCCCGCGAUUGAUACUGGUAACCUUGAGUGCGGAUGAGGUGGAUGGAAUUCGUGGUGUAGCGGUGAAAUGCUUAGAUAUCACGAAGAACUCCGAUUG